GAGCUGAGUUGGAAAGCAACCUAUUUAAAUCAUUAUAAAAAUAGAUAGCUUCUUGAAAUAUCAUUUCAGUUUCGAUUGGUUUACGAUUGGUGAAUGAUGCAAGAUGCGUUGGUUGGUCAACCUCUGUCAUGCAAAAUCGUUUACUUGUGGGGUAGAAUAUGAUUUCGCACACAUUUGGACAGUGUAACAGCGUUUCGCUCUACAACGCUAUGCCCCUUGGUCAUAACGGAACGCAAUUACGAUGCGUUUCCUCUGUCAACGCAUGACGGAGCCGACGGAGCGAAUGUCAGGAAAGAAAGCAAGUCUCAUUCUAUAGAACAAGGUAGUGAACUGAGUACACAAGAAUAGUAAAUUAUGCAGUGGCUAAAUAUUAGUAUAUAUUAAUUUUGAUUUUCCAAAAGAUUUGUAUGUACACCGGAAAUUUAGAUUGAUUUGGUGGAUAUAACCUAAAAGGGAGGAUAGUAUCAAUUUUUUAGCAAUAUUAUCACCCAGAACACAUGGUGUUUGAUUGCUCAAAAGAAUAUUUACUCCCGUUCCGACAAAAUCUAAAAGAUUGAUAGUGAGUAUAUCAUCCCGUCAGACACGGAGCGCACGUUGUGUUACACCGGAUGAAUCCAAAUGCCCAGCAUGUGACAACUCCUGCUGUCACUGUAAGGUUUGGUGGCACUACGAUUGCAUAGGUGUUGAUGAAGGUAUAAGCGCGGCGGAUCGGACCUUCAAUUGCCCAAGGUGUCAAAAACCAUCAUCCACGAUUCCGUUCGAUGAUCGAUCCCGGACAAAGUCGCCUAAGCGAAACACCAGUAAGGGCAGCAGUGUAGCAGCUUCUUCCACCUCCAGCGUACGAGCAAGGAGGGCCCACUUACAGCUUGAAAAACUCGUUAUUAAAAACCGUUAUGGCACCCAUGGCCGAGUGGUUAGCGUCUCAUAUUAUCAUGCCGGGUGUUCGGGUUCGAUUCCCGUUCUGGCCGGGGGAUUUUUCGUCACAGAAAUUUCCUUCGACUUGCACUAUGUUCACGCGUAUUCUAGAGCUUGCCCCUCGGAAUACAUUCAAGGCGUGUUAUUUGGCUUAAGAAAUCUCAACUUUGCAUUAAUAAAUGACGCUAGUUAAUGCAUACGUUGAGACGGCAUAAGUUCCACAUGGAACUUUAACGCCAUUCAAGAAGACUACCGUCAGAAACGAUGUUCAGCAUGAGCUGCACUCACAGGUCGCCAACAGAAGUCAACUGUAACUGUCAAAAGGUCUAGCAGCCGCAGAUAUUCCGUUAGGAUCGAAUGCCGAUAUUAGUUUUUGUGGAAUGACCAAUACUAUAAGUAAGCCAAGUAGUAACCUGGGAUUAGAAGCAGAAGGUAGCAAACAUUUUCCGCUUAAUAGUGACACGCAAACUCUUGUUCGGAAUGAUCCACAAGUAGCUCAGUCUUCACAUCAGCUUCCAUUUUCUUCCGUUUAUCAAGCUCAGUCAUUUAAGGUGAAGGUGGAAGCUAGCCAUUGUAGUAGUAUAGGUAAACCCAAUCGUAAAAAUGGGGUAAUAGUGUUUGUGAGAGAAGAGCAAAGCACACGUAAAUAGAUUAAUUCUCUUAUCAUACUGUGUGGCGCUUCAUUGACACGAGCCUUUGAGUACAUUUGAAAAAAAAAUAACAAUUCAGACUAAAGUGAAAUGU
Long non-coding RNA from Toxorhynchites rutilus septentrionalis, 1659 nucleotides. RefSeq lists it as uncharacterized. The record is from RefSeq and is a predicted model, not a curated record. Lineage: Eukaryota; Metazoa; Arthropoda; Insecta; Diptera; Culicidae. The transcript is spliced from 3 exons.